This 638-nucleotide ribosomal RNA is filed under the name uncultured Bacteroidales bacterium. RNAcentral's name for it is "bacterial SSU rRNA". It matches the Rfam family "Bacterial small subunit ribosomal RNA", at positions 90 to 725 of the family's 1533-position model. Lineage: Bacteria; Pseudomonadati; Bacteroidota; Bacteroidia; Bacteroidales. The record is from RNAcentral.
GGCGACCGGCGCACGGGUGAGUAACGCGUAUGCAACUUGCCUAUCAGAGGGGGAUAACCCGGCGAAAGUCGGACUAAUACCGCAUGAAGCAGGGGCCCCGCAUGGGGAUAUUUGCUAAAGAUUCAUCGCUGAUAGAUAGGCAUGCGUUCCAUUAGGCAGUUGGCGGGGUAACGGCCCACCAAACCGACGAUGGAUAGGGGUUCUGAGAGGAAGGUCCCCCACAUUGGUACUGAGACACGGACCAAACUCCUACGGGAGGCAGCAGUGAGGAAUAUUGGUCAAUGGGCGUAAGCCUGAACCAGCCAAGUCGCGUGAGGGAUGAAGGUUCUAUGGAUCGUAAACCUCUUUUAUAAGGGAAUAAAGUGCGGGACGUGUCCCGUUUUGUAUGUACCUUAUGAAUAAGGAUCGGCUAACUCCGUGCCAGCAGCCGCGGUAAUACGGAGGAUCCGAGCGUUAUCCGGAUUUAUUGGGUUUAAAGGGUGCGUAGGCGGCCUUUUAAGUCAGCGGUGAAAGUCUGUGGCUCAACCAUAGAAUUGCCGUUGAAACUGGGGGGCUUGAGUAUGUUUGAGGCAGGCGGAAUGCGUGGUGUAGCGGUGAAAUGCAUAGAUAUCACGCAGAACCCCGAUUGCGAAGGCAGC